RNAcentral lists this ribosomal RNA (694 nucleotides) under uncultured Shigella sp. RNAcentral's name for it is "bacterial SSU rRNA". It matches the Rfam family "Bacterial small subunit ribosomal RNA", at positions 11 to 718 of the family's 1533-position model. The record is from RNAcentral. Lineage: Bacteria; Pseudomonadati; Pseudomonadota; Gammaproteobacteria; Enterobacterales; Enterobacteriaceae.
GUUUGAUCCUGGCUCAGAUUGAACGCUGGCGGCAGGCCUAACACAUGCAAGUCGAACGGUAAAGAAGCUUGCUUCUUACGAGUGGCGGACGGGUGAGUAAUGUCUGGGAAACUGCCUGAUGGAGGGGGAUAACUACUGGAAACGGUAGCUAAUACCGCAUAACGUCGCAAAACCAAAGAGGUUCGUCUUGCCAUCGGAUGUGCCCAGAUGGGAUUAGCUAGUAGGUGGGGUAACGGCUCACCUAGGCGACGAUCCCUAGCUGGUCUGAGAGGAUGACCAGCCACACUGGAACUGAGACACGGUCCAGACUCCUACGGGAGGCAGCAGUGGGGAAUAUUGCACAAUGGGCGCAAGCCUGAUGCAGCCAUGCCGCGUGUAUGAAGAAGGCCUUCGGGUUGUAAAGUACUUUCAGCGGGGAGGAAGGGAGUAAAGUAAUCUUUGCUCUUGACGUUACCCGCAGAAGAAGCACCGGCUAACUCCGUGCCAGCAGCCGCGGUAAUACGGAGGGUGCAAGCGUUAAUCGGAAUUACUGGGCGUAAAGCGCACGCAGGCGGUUUGUUAAGUCAGAUGUGAAAUCCCCGGGCUCAACCUGGGAACUGCAUCUGAUACUGGCAAGCUUGAGUCUCGUAGAGGGGGGUAGAAUUCCAGGUGUAGCGGUGAAAUGCGUAGAGAUCUGGAGGAAUACCGGUGGCGA